Molecule: ribosomal RNA, 1275 nt
Filed under: Triticum aestivum (bread wheat)
Lineage: Eukaryota; Viridiplantae; Streptophyta; Magnoliopsida; Poales; Poaceae
Description: partial small subunit ribosomal RNA
Source: RNAcentral
AUGGACUGCCCCAAGCGGAGCGCGAGCGCCGUCCUCCCCGAAGACUCCUUGGUGGAGAUCCUCGCGCGCGUCCCCGCCAGGUCCGUCUACCGCUCCAAGUGCGUCGCGAAGGCCUGGCGCGACCUCAUCGAAGACCCCCUCCUCCGCAAGAAGCUCCCCCAAACCCUACAAGGCUUCUUCUUCAUUGACAAGGAGACCCACAGGCAGCGUGUCCGCUUCACAAAUCUGCUUGAUAGAUCCGGGCCUCUCCAGAUCGACCAUAACCUCGCCUUCCUGAAGGAAUCGCCCGGGAUUGGGACUCUCGACUUCUCCGAUUCCUGUAACGGGCUCCUCCUCUUCGAGCACAAACUGAAGGCAUGGCCAUAUGACCUAUUGGGCUAUGUAGUGUGCAACCCCACCACGAAGCAAUGGGCGGAGGUGCCAAGAGACGGCCCUCCGCUUCCGUUGUAUCUUCGGCACCCCAAAAGAUACAACUAUUUGGUUUUUGAUCCGUCCGUCUCCUCUCACUUCCACCUGGUCCAGUUCACGUGGGAGUUUGUGCGCUUGGUGAAGUUUGAGGAGGAGUUAGUGGUUGGUCAUGAUGAUGAUGAUGAGGAGGAGGAGGAGGGCGAUGAGGAGGAGGAGUUGUCCCGGACGUCAGUGCACGUCUACUCCUCUGAGACUGGCAAGUGGACUCACACGCAAAGUGACUGGAGUCAAAUCCAAAGUGGCUGGAACAAGCAUGAUUUGGAAGGAUGGCGUCUUCAGGGCUUAAUACCUGAGAGCUUCUGCUGUGCUGUUCUCAACAGCAUGCUGCAUUUCAUAAUUUCGGAUGAAGGUCAGAUUGCUGCUGUUGACAUGCAAGGUGUGACAAGAAAGAUCAUCCCAGUGCCGACGAUGGCCGAGAGGCUCCACUGGCUGGAGCCUGGUUAUGUUGCCCAAUCCCAAGGGCGCCUGCACUACAUCAGUCAAGCAGUUGAUGGUCGACUGUCCAUCUGGGUUCUGGAGGGCUAUGAUACACAAGAAUGGGUCUUGAAGCAUAGUGUGAGCUUUACGGAGCUGUUUAGAGAAAAGAGACGCACAGGCGACACAAAAGACUACAGUGUGGUUGCCAUGCAUCCAGAUGGAAAUGUGGUUUUCAUUGUUCAAGAUUGGAACCGAAAGCUGAUAUCAUAUCACAUGGACAAUAAGCUAGUGAGUAUUAUGGGGACAUUAAAAAAUGAUGCUUCAGAUGUGCAUGUUGUACCUUAUGUUCCCUGUUUCUCCGAGUCACCGGCACUUGAAAACAAGCACUGA